Molecule: ribosomal RNA, 359 nt
Filed under: uncultured archaeon
Lineage: Archaea
Description: bacterial SSU rRNA
Rfam family: Archaeal small subunit ribosomal RNA (bases 1-299)
Source: RNAcentral
ACUGCUCAGUAACACGUGGAUAACCUGCCCUUAGGACUGGCAUAACCCCGGGAAACUGGGGAUAAUUCCGGAUAGUUCAUGGUAGUUGGAAUGCUCCAUGAUCGAAAGCUAUUGCGCCUAAGGAUGGGUCUGCGGUCUAUCAGGUAGUAGUGGGUGUAAUGUACCUACUAGCCGACGACGGAUACGGGUUGUGGGAGCAAGAGCCCGGAGAUGGAUUCUGAGACAUGAAUCCAGGCCCUACGGGGCGCAGCAGGCGCGAAAACUUUACAAUGCGGGAAACCGCGAUAAGGGGACACCGAGUGCCAGCAGCCGCGGUAAUACGAUCCCCCCGUGCCCCCGCCCCGCCCGGGGCGGCCCCA